GGUGGUUCUUGGGUGAUGCACCCCAGAAUUGUGCUCCCUCCUCUCUGGUUCUGGGGUGCAUCACCCCAGAACUGCC
This is a non-coding RNA of Myotis lucifugus (little brown bat), 76 nucleotides long. Lineage: Eukaryota; Metazoa; Chordata; Mammalia; Chiroptera; Vespertilionidae. The record is from Rfam.